CAUAAAACUCUCAUAGGGGCUGGACAACACAACAAACUAUAAUAAUUAUAAUGUUUAUAAAGUUUAGGAAUAUCAAGCUUUUUUUUUUUUUUUUUUUAACAAGGCUGAAAGAUUAACAAUCUUUCCUUUUUGGAUUUUCUCUUUUUGUUUGAAUGUUGCUCAGUGCUGCUUUCUGGGCUUUUUGAGAAGGAGGGGUGGUGCUCAUCAAGGGAGUUUUGAACUGCAUUAUAGGACUCUCAGAGACAGGGUCCCCUGCUACAGUGCUACGAACAUCGUAACAGCAGUUCCAUCAGGAGAAUCUCGAAUGAGAGACUGUGUUGGUCCAGCUGUCGGUUGAUGGCUGGACUGCAUCUUUCCCAAACCUGCCGUGAUUGAAAUGUUACAGCACUGGUCCAGGAAACUGGUUUCAGAUCUGGAAGAACUGAGCGAUCAGAGGCCAUUCCAAACAGGACCUCCUCAACCACCAGCCACACACGAGCAGCCCCUCAGCCUGAACCAGCAACAAAGAUAUCCAUGGUGGGCAUAAUGAGGCAGGGAGAGUCCAGCGUGGGGACUGGUGUGCAAUAGGCCGCAGCAUGUCCACAGCUGAGAUGAAGACCCUGUAUGAGGACACUUGUCAUUACUCCCGGGGCCUCUUGGGCGUUAUAUAGACUAUCAUGGAAUCUUGGAUGAUUCCAUUUGGUCUAGAAGGGGGGAGUGAAGGGUGUGAUUGGAGAUAACCUCACCUUCAUAAUCUUAUUUUUAUUUUGUUUUAUACAUUUAUAUGUACUUAUUAUUUUUACAGUUUACUUAAUUUAGCUUUAUGAACUUUGCUCUCUUUUUAACUGUGUCAAUGACGCAAGGCUUUGGAGGUUGUUUGCACUUCAGGAAUCGGGAUCUUGUCUUGGGUAUGGGGAGAAAAUACCCAAGGGUUCUUUCUCUUCUGGCUUUCUCUCUCUCUGGAUUGUAAAUGUGUUGACCUACUGAAAUAUAAUUAUACUGUGUUGACUUGAUGUACUUUUACUCUUUUGUAAUUGUAUCUAUUAAAUUUGUUUCUUUUAUAUAUCUGUAAUACUGAAACAAUGUUUCCAGUAAACUUCAACAUAUUUUAAAUUCUAAAC
Molecule: long non-coding RNA, 1100 nt
Filed under: Astyanax mexicanus (Mexican tetra)
Lineage: Eukaryota; Metazoa; Chordata; Actinopteri; Characiformes; Acestrorhamphidae
Description: lncRNA (ENSAMXG00005006066.1)
Source: RNAcentral